This 555-nucleotide long non-coding RNA is filed under the name Homo sapiens (human). RNAcentral describes it as "non-protein coding lnc-HDAC2-5:1". The record is from RNAcentral. Lineage: Eukaryota; Metazoa; Chordata; Mammalia; Primates; Hominidae.
CACCUUGACUGCACGCCCGACAUCUGGGCGCUGCAGGAGGGGAGUGCCUGGCUCACACCUUUCAUGCACGCUGCCACUCAUCACUCCCACACGGCCUCCUUACUGCGUUGCCUCCUGGAGCCGCUGUCGGUUUACCCUGACUUGGCCAAGGUGGUGGGCUGCCAGUGCUCAUCUCUGUCAGUUGCAGCUGAGAGUUUCUUAUCAAAAGAAAUGUGGUUGGCACCCCCACAGUUCUACGAAAUAAGAAGGCUUGAAAACUUGGCCUCUCUCCCUGACUUGCACAAAUUGUGUUUGGAUGGUACAUUAGAAAGAUAGAAAAGAUGGCUGCCCAUCACCUUGUUAACCGCUGAUGGGAAGCUCCAGCUUUUUGCAGUUGAUGAGCUACACUUGGAAGAUUCAGACUUUUUAGAAAAACUUUUUUCUACUGCAAAGAAAGCUGAAGAAAUCAUGAAGGAAGGCAAGCAGUUUCACAGAAUAGUGAUAUCCAAUCACAAUCUUUAUGAUAUCUACGUGAGUGUUCAAAGUGUAAACACGUUUAUCCCAAGAACUCCUUAG